Molecule: ribosomal RNA, 254 nt
Filed under: uncultured bacterium
Lineage: Bacteria
Description: partial 16S ribosomal RNA
Rfam family: Bacterial small subunit ribosomal RNA
Source: RNAcentral
UACGUAGGGGGCAAGCGUUGUCCGGAUUUAUUGGGCGUAAAGAGCGUGUAGGCGGCCUGAAAGGUCAGCUGUGAAAACUCGAGGCUCAACCUCGAGACGUCGGUUGAAACCAUCUGGCUAGAGUCCGGAAGAGGAGUGUGGAAUUCCCGGUGUAGCGGUGAAAUGCGCAGAUAUCGGGAAGAACACCCGUGGCGAAGGCGGCACUCUGGGACGGUACUGACGCUGAGACGCGAAAGCGUGGGGAGCGAACGAGG